This 614-nucleotide long non-coding RNA is filed under the name Equus caballus (horse). Its description in RNAcentral is "lncRNA (ENSECAG00000047867.1)". The record is from RNAcentral. Lineage: Eukaryota; Metazoa; Chordata; Mammalia; Perissodactyla; Equidae.
GUAAAAUCCACACUGAUCCCGAAGCAGCUGCCGCCGGCGCCCUCAGGGAAGGGGUGAGCCACCUACAGGAUCGACUGAGGAUCAGAUUCAAAACCGUGUUGCUCCUUAUCCAGCUGAUAAUUUAAGCACAGGCAGCCUGAAGACACAGGGAAAGGUCAGGUGGUUGGGUAGAUCUGUGCCCGGUUCCGUCAGCCGAAAGCUGAGCCAGCUUUUGAUCUGCAAGGAACGACCACGCAUGCGUGGGUUUGUUUCCGGGCUCCCUACUCUCUUCCAUUCGUCUGUGCCCACCGUGUGCGGGAGGGUUGAACUCAGUGUGCUGGCUGGCAGGGCUCGACGUGCGCGUGUGUACAAGUCAGCUGAGGCUCGUGGUGGCACCCUGCCCUCUGACAAACCAGCGGGUUCCUCUUCUGGCCGAGAGAAUUCGCUUGAGUUCCAAGAAAAGCUCCAAGUGCAAGGUACGCUGAUCGCCAGGGUACCGUUGUGAUAUUUCCUUUCCGAAGUGCCCUCCUGUACGUGACCUGAUUGCACCCUCACUGCAGCCCUUCGAGGCAGAUGCCGAUCUGCCCAUUUUACAGACCACGAGACUGAGGCCUGUGGAGGUUCCGUGAGGCGCC